Molecule: ribosomal RNA, 700 nt
Filed under: Pseudoperonospora cubensis
Lineage: Eukaryota; Oomycota; Peronosporomycetes; Peronosporales; Peronosporaceae
Description: LSU rRNA
Rfam family: Eukaryotic large subunit ribosomal RNA
Source: RNAcentral
CGAGGAGGUAGGGCUUACGCUUGCGUUUGUCUGUUAUAUCUUGGUGGACGAGUUGUCGCGGUUGGGACUGAGGUGCCUACAACGUGCUUUUGAGUGAGUUUGUGUCUCCGUGUGCGCCGUGUGCGGAUAGCUUGCUAUGUAUGUGCGGUUGUGUGUGGAUUGAUGCGGGCUUUAACUUGUUGCCGUUCGGGACGUUGGCGAAAUGGAGCGAUCCGACCCGUCUUGAAACACGGACCAAGGAGUCUAACAUGUGUGCAAGUGUUAGGGUGUGGAAACCCCAGCGCGAAAUGAAAGUGAAGGGCAGCGCAAGUUGUCUGAGGUAGGAAACGUUGUGGACUUCGGUCUGCGGCGUGGCACUAUCGACCGAUCAUGAACCUUCGUGGUGAAAGAUUUGAGUUUGAGCACAUAUGUUGGUACCCGAAAGAUGGUGAACUAUGCCUGAGUAGGGUGAAGCCAGGGGAAACUCUGGUGGAAGCUCGUAGCGAUUCUGACGUGCAAAUCGAUCGUCAAACUUGGGUAUAGGGGCGAAAGACUAAUCGAACCAUCUAGUAGCUGGUUCCCUCCGAAAUUUCCCUCAGGAUAGCAGCAACUUAUUUACGAUAGUUUUAUGAGGUAAAGCGAAUGAUUAGAGGAUUCGGGGAAGAAACUUCCUCGACCUAUUCUCAAACUUUAAAUCUGUAAGACCUGCAGGUUUCUUAAU